This 497-nucleotide ribosomal RNA is filed under the name uncultured bacterium. RNAcentral describes it as "partial 16S ribosomal RNA". It matches the Rfam family "Bacterial small subunit ribosomal RNA", at positions 28 to 507 of the family's 1533-position model. The record is from RNAcentral.
GAUGAACGCUGGCGGCGUGCCUAAUACAUGCAAGUCGAGCGAACGGACGAGAAGCUUGCUUCUCUGACGUUAGCGGCGGACGGGUGAGUAACACGUGGAUACCCUACCUAUAAGACUGGGAUAACUUCGGGAAACCGUAGCUAAUACCGGAUAAUAUUUUGAACCGCAUGGUUCAAUAGUGAAAGACGGUCUUGCUGUCACUUAUAGAUGGAUCCGCGCUGCAUUAGCUAGUUGGUAAGGUAACGGCUUACCAAGGCAAUGAUGCAUAGCCGACCUGAGAGGGUGAUCGGCCACACUAGAACUGAGACACGGUCCAGACGCCUACGGGAGGCAGCAGUAGGGAAUCGUCCGCAAUGGGCGAAAGCCUGACGGAGCAACGCCGCGUGAGUGAUGAAGGUCUUCGGAUCGUAAAACUCUGUUAUUAGGGAAGAACAUAUGUGUAAGUAACUGUGCACAUCUUGACGGUACCUAAUCAGAAAGCCACGGCUAACUACGUG